GGCACAGUGCCAGAGUGGUUAAUGGGUUAGACUUGAAUUGGGCAUCCAAUCAGUCAUCUAAUGGCUUCGGCCUCGCAAGUUCGAAUCUUGUCUGUGUCG
Molecule: non-coding RNA, 99 nt
Organism: Coniosporium apollinis CBS 100218
Lineage: Eukaryota; Fungi; Ascomycota; Dothideomycetes
Source: Rfam